Glycine soja is the source of this 434-nucleotide long non-coding RNA. RefSeq lists it as uncharacterized. Lineage: Eukaryota; Viridiplantae; Streptophyta; Magnoliopsida; Fabales; Fabaceae. The record is from RefSeq and is a predicted model, not a curated record. The transcript is spliced from 2 exons.
AUACAUCAAUGUGAGACAUUCUUGAAAUGUAGACCAUAUUGAAUGAACUCUAAGACAAGAAAGGUUCUGUUCCCUCAUCAAUGUCAGAUCACAAACUAUUGUACUCAUUACAUAAUUCCUGUCAUACAAUCAUGCAUAAUGGGAGAUCUUUGCUUCAAAAGCAAUUCAAAGUUCACAUGCCAGAAACUAAGGAGAGAAAAAAAAACGAUUAAAGGAAGAAAAUCUCCAUCAGAGAACCAGCAGUAGCAGACAUUUGCAUGCUUAGCGGGGCCAACACUAAUAGAUAGGUAGGUAUAUUUCAUGUUCUACUCUGUAAUAUAAUGGCAGGCACCUACCUUUUACUGCUUUGUGAUGUAUGAUGCGUGAAUUUUGUAAAUUUGUAAGCUACUAUGAAAGAUCUCAAUGAUAAUAAGUACCAGAAUUCAAUAGCUCAA